GAUGAACGCUGGCGGCGUGCCUAAUACAUGCGAGUCGAGCGAACGGACGAGAAGCUUGCUUCUCUGAUGUUAGCGGUGGACGGGUGAGUAACACGUGGAUAACCUACCUAUAAGACUGGGAUAACUUCGGGAAACCGUAGCUAAUACCGGAUAAUAUUUUGAACCGCAUGGUUCAAAAGUGAAAGACGGUCUUGCUGUCACUUAUAGAUGGAUCCGCGCUGCAUUAGCUAGUUGGUAAGGUAACGGCUUACCAAGGCAACGAUGCAUAGCCGACCUGAGAGGGUGAUCGGCCACACUGGAACUGAGACACGGUCCAGACUCCUACGGGAGGCAGCAGUAGGGAAUCUUCCGCAAUGGGCGAAAGCCUGACGGAGCAACGCCGCGUGAGUGAUGAAGGUCUUCGGAUCGUAAAACUCUGUUAUUAGGGAAGAACAUAUGUGUAAGUAACUGUGCACAUCUUGACGGUACCUAAUCAGAAAGCCACGGCUAACUACGUG
Molecule: ribosomal RNA, 497 nt
Filed under: uncultured bacterium
Lineage: Bacteria
Description: partial 16S ribosomal RNA
Rfam family: Bacterial small subunit ribosomal RNA
Source: RNAcentral